AAAUUGAAGAGUUUGAUCAUGGCUCAGAUUGAACGCUGGCGGCAGGCCUAACACAUGCAAGUCGAACGGUAACAGGAAGAAGCUUGCUUCUUUGCUGACGAGUGGCGGACGGGUGAGUAAUGUCUGGGAAACUGCCCGAUGGAGGGGGAUAACUACUGGAAACGGUAGCUAAUACCGCAUAACGUCGCAAGACCAAAGAGGGGGACCUUCGGGCCUCUUGCCAUCGGAUGUGCCCAGAUGGGAUUAGCUUGUUGGUGAGGUAACGGCUCACCAAGGCGACGAUCCCUAGCUGGUCUGAGAGGAUGACCAGCCACACUGGAACUGAGACACGGUCCAGACUCCUACGGGAGGCAGCAGUGGGGAAUAUUGCACAAUGGGCGCAAGCCUGAUGCAGCCAUGCCGCGUGUAUGAAGAAGGCCUUCGGGUUGUAAAGUACUUUCAGCGGGGAGGAAGGGAGUAAAGUUAAUACCUUUGCUCAUUGACGUUACCCGCAGAAGAAGCACCGGCUAACUCCGUGCCAGCAGCCGCGGUAAUACGGAGGGUGCAAGCGUUAAUCGGAAUUACUGGGCGUAAAGCGCACGCAGGCGGUUUGUUAAGUCAGAUGUGAAAUCCCCGGGCUCAACCUGGGAACUGCAUCUGAUACUGGCAAGCUUGAGUCUCGUAGAGGGGGGUAGAAUUCCAGGUGUAGCGGUGAAAUGCGUAGAGAUCUGGAGGAAUACCGGUGGCGAAGGCGGCCCCCUGGACGAAGACUGACGCUCAGGUGCGAAAGCGUGGGGAGCAAACAGGAUUAGAUACCCUGGUAGUCCACGCCGUAAACGAUGUCGACUUGGAGGUUGUGCCCUUGAGGCGUGGCUUCCGGAGCUAACGCGUUAAGUCGACCGCCUGGGGAGUACGGCCGCAAGGUUAAAACUCAAAUGAAUUGACGGGGGCCCGCACAAGCGGUGGAGCAUGUGGUUUAAUUCGAUGCAACGCGAAGAACCUUACCUGGUCUUGACAUCCACGGAAGUUUUCAGAGAUGAGAAUGUGCCUUCGGGAACCGUGAGACAGGUGCUGCAUGGCUGUCGUCAGCUCGUGUUGUGAAAUGUUGGGUUAAGUCCCGCAACGAGCGCAACCCUUAUCCUUUGUUGCCAGCGGUUAGGCCGGGAACUCAAAGGAGACUGCCAGUGAUAAACUGGAGGAAGGUGGGGAUGACGUCAAGUCAUCAUGGCCCUUACGACCAGGGCUACACACGUGCUACAAUGGCGCAUACAAAGAGAAGCGACCUCGCGAGAGCAAGCGGACCUCAUAAAGUGCGUCGUAGUCCGGAUUGGAGUCUGCAACUCGACUCCAUGAAGUCGGAAUCGCUAGUAAUCGUGGAUCAGAAUGCCACGGUGAAUACGUUCCCGGGCCUUGUACACACCGCCCGUCACACCAUGGGAGUGGGUUGCAAAAGAAGUAGGUAGCUUAACCUUCGGGAGGGCGCUUACCACUUUGUGAUUCAUGACUGGGGUGAAGUCGUAACAAGGUAACCGUAGGGGAACCUGCGGUUGGAUCACCUCCUUACCUGAAAGAA
Molecule: ribosomal RNA, 1552 nt
Filed under: Escherichia albertii
Lineage: Bacteria; Pseudomonadati; Pseudomonadota; Gammaproteobacteria; Enterobacterales; Enterobacteriaceae
Description: bacterial SSU rRNA
Rfam family: Bacterial small subunit ribosomal RNA
Source: RNAcentral